AAAUUGAAGAGUUUGAUCAUGGCUCAGAUUGAACGCUGGCGGCAGGCCUAACACAUGCAAGUCGAACGGUAACAGGAAACAGCUUGCUGUUUCGCUGACGAGUGGCGGACGGGUGAGUAAUGUCUGGGAAACUGCCUGAUGGAGGGGGAUAACUACUGGAAACGGUAGCUAAUACCGCAUAACGUCGCAAGACCAAAGAGGGGGACCUUCGGGCCUCUUGCCAUCNNNUGUGCCCAGAUGGGAUUAGCUAGUAGGUGGGGUAACGGCUCACCUAGGCGACGAUCCCUAGCUGGUCUGAGAGGAUGACCAGCCACACUGGAACUGAGACACGGUCCAGACUCCUACGGGAGGCAGCAGUGGGGAAUAUUGCACAAUGGGCGCAAGCCUGAUGCAGCCAUGCCGCGUGUAUGAAGAAGGCCUUCGGGUUGUAAAGUACUUUCAGCGGGGAGGAAGGGAGUAAAGUUAAUACCUUUGCUCAUUGACGUUACCCGCAGAAGAAGCACCGGCUAACUCCGUGCCAGCAGCCGCGGUAAUACGGAGGGUGCAAGCGUUAAUCGGAAUUACUGGGCGUAAAGCGCACGCAGGCGGUUUGUUAAGUCAGAUGUGAAAUCCCCGGGCUCAACCUGGGAACUGCAUCUGAUACUGGCAAGCUUGAGUCUCGUAGAGGGGGGUAGAAUUCCAGGUGUAGCGGUGAAAUGCGUAGAGAUCUGGAGGAAUACCGGUGGCGAAGGCGGCCCCCUGGACGAAGACUGACGCUCAGGUGCGAAAGCGUGGGGAGCAAACAGGAUUAGAUACCCUGGUAGUCCACGCCGUAAACGAUGUCGACUUGGAGGUUGUGCCCUUGAGGCGUGGCUUCCGGAGCUAACGCGUUAAGUCGACCGCCUGGGGAGUACGGCCGCAAGGUUAAAACUCAAAUGAAUUGACGGGGGCCCGCACAAGCGGUGGAGCAUGUGGUUUAAUUCGAUGCAACGCGAAGAACCUUACCUGGUCUUGACAUCCACGGAAGUUUUCAGAGAUGAGAAUGUGCCUUCGGGAACCGUGAGACAGGUGCUGCAUGGCUGUCGUCAGCUCGUGUUGUGAAAUGUUGGGUUAAGUCCCGCAACGAGCGCAACCCUUAUCCUUUGUUGCCAGCGGUCCGGCCGGGAACUCAAAGGAGACUGCCAGUGAUAAACUGGAGGAAGGUGGGGAUGACGUCAAGUCAUCAUGGCCCUUACGACCAGGGCUACACACGUGCUACAAUGGCGCAUACAAAGAGAAGCGACCUCGCGAGAGCAAGCGGACCUCAUAAAGUGCGUCGUAGUCCGGAUUGGAGUCUGCAACUCGACUCCAUGAAGUCGGAAUCGCUAGUAAUCGUGGAUCAGAAUGCCACGGUGAAUACGUUCCCGGGCCUUGUACACACCGCCCGUCACACCAUGGGAGUGGGUUGCAAAAGAAGUAGGUAGCUUAACCUUCGGGAGGGCGCUUACCACUUUGUGAUUCAUGACUGGGGUGAAGUCGUAACAAGGUAACCGUAGGGGAACCUGCGGUUGGAUCACCUCCUUA
Molecule: ribosomal RNA, 1542 nt
Filed under: Escherichia coli
Lineage: Bacteria; Pseudomonadati; Pseudomonadota; Gammaproteobacteria; Enterobacterales; Enterobacteriaceae
Description: bacterial SSU rRNA
Rfam family: Bacterial small subunit ribosomal RNA
Source: RNAcentral